UACGUAGGGUGCGAGCGUUGUCCGGAUUUAUUGGGCGUAAAGGGCUCGUAGGCGGCCUGUCGCGUCGGGAGUGAAAGCCCACUGCUUAACGGUGGGUCUGCUUCCGGUACGGGCGGGCUGGAGUAUGGCAGGGGAGACUGGAAUUCCUGGUGUAGCGGUGGAAUGCGCAGAUAUCAGGAGGAACACCGGUGGCGAAGGCGGCUUGCUGGGCCAGUUCUGACGCUGAGGAGCGAAAGCGUGGGGAGCGAACAGG
This 253-nucleotide ribosomal RNA is filed under the name uncultured bacterium. Its description in RNAcentral is "partial 16S ribosomal RNA". It matches the Rfam family "Bacterial small subunit ribosomal RNA", at positions 524 to 776 of the family's 1533-position model. The record is from RNAcentral.